AUUGAACGCUGGCGGCAGGCUUAACACAUGCAAGUCGAACGGUAACACGCUGCAUCUUGCUGCUUCUCUGACGAGGGGCGGACGGGUGAGUAAUGUCUAGGCUGCUCUCUGCUGGAGGGGGACAACUACUGGAAACGGUUGCUAAUACCUCAUAAUGUCGCACGACUGAUGAGGGUGGCAAUCGGGCCUCUUGCCAUCAGAUAUGCCCAGAUGGGAUUAGCUUGUUUGGGGGCUAACGGGACACAAAGGCGACCAGCCGUACCUCGUCUGAGAGGAUGACCAGCCACACGGGAACUGAGACACGGUCCAGACUCCUACGGGAGGCACCAGUGGGGAAUAUUGCACAGUGGGCGCAAGCCUGAUGCAGCCAGGCCGCGUGUAUGAAGAAGGCCUUCGGGUUGUAAAGUACUUUCAGCGGGGAGGAAGGGAGUAAAGUUAAUACCUUUGCUCAUUGACGUUACCCGCAGAAGAAGCACCGGCUAACUCCGUG
RNAcentral lists this ribosomal RNA (490 nucleotides) under uncultured bacterium. Its description in RNAcentral is "partial 16S ribosomal RNA". It matches the Rfam family "Bacterial small subunit ribosomal RNA", at positions 30 to 507 of the family's 1533-position model. The record is from RNAcentral.